UUUGUGACAUUUGUCAUGCCAAUAAAGCAAUUAUUGAAUUGAAUUGAAUUGAGUUGAAUUUAAUUGAAUUGAGAGAGAGAGAGAGAGAGAGAGAGAGAGGUGGGCGGAGCUUGUAGUGUUGUGAGUAACAGGUGUUCAGCAGCUGCUCUUCACAUACACAGAAACACCGCGACAGUCCUCACAUCCACUCGGAGCCGCUCUGGUUUAGCGAUUUUAUCAAUAAUAACCGGAAUAACGGCUGACAUAUCGGUCUGGUGCUCCAGAUCUCCUGGUUCUCCUCCAUCCGUCUGCUCCGGGCUGCCCCAUGCAGGGAGCGGCUGAUCGGUGAGCCUGUCCAGACUGAAGCUGGGGAAGCUAAAGGUGGUGCGGCGGCAGCUGCUGCAGCGCUAUGAGCACCAGCCAUUUGUCUCCUGUCUGGCCGGUCUGUACGGCUGCCAGUGGAGAAGAUACCAGCGCGCCAAAGCCCAGCCGGGAGAGUGCUGCUGCAGCCGGUUGGAGUGCAGUAGUUUCGCUCUCCUCAUCGUAACGUUUUUCCUGACGCUGAUAUUCCUGUAUUUCUGGAGUGAAGCGCAAAAUGAUUACAACGACUUCGACUGGUGAGUGUCUCCAGAUGAACGGAACAUUUUUAUCGAUAAAUGUAGAGCUCUGUUUGCACCGAAAUCUUUUAUUUAGCUUUUAAUUUCAAUCUAGUCGGAGGAAAUUAUGAUCCACAUUCAUGAGAACAGUCUUCUCUUUAAGUUUUCAUUAAUGAUUCAUUACUAAUGGGAAAGAUACUGAUGUUUCGACUCAAAGCUUUCUUCAGUGUGCAAAGCGCAGUGUGCAAUUCAGUCCCAAUAGGUAAAAACAAUUAUUUUUACGUUUAAAUUGUUUAUUGUGAAAAAACAAACAUUAUAUCAGUACAGAUAGUUACAUAUCAUUCUCUUUUUUUUUUUUACAAAAGAGACAAAAAAAACAAUAACAAAAAUAUAUAUAUAUAUAAUAAAAACGAGAAAUAUUAAUAAUAAUAAUGAUAAUAAUAAAAGAGGAAAAGAAAAAUAAAACAUGAGUAUUAAGUGUACUGAAAAUUACAACCAAAUAUCACAAUCAAAUGUUCAGAUACAUUGUCAAUGUUGAAAGUAAAUAUUUACAAUUAAACGGUAUAAAAUGGUACUAGAUAAAACAAAAAAGUUUAAUUAAAACGAAAUAAAUUAAAAAGGGAGGGAACUCAGGAGAUUGCAUCUAUUAAAUGGAAGGCAAUACCUUAAGAGAGUUAAAGUAAGUUAUAAAACAUUGUCACUUUUUAAAGAAAUGAGUUUUCCCAGAGCAUCUAACCUUUUCCAACUUAAGAAAAUGCAUGGUAUCUACAAGCCAUUGGGAUGUAGUUGGAGGCUUAUUUGAUUUCCAGUGAAGUAGUAUACGACGCCUGGCUAUUAGUGAGGUAAAGGCCAAAACAUCAAGCUGUUUAGAAUUAAAUUUGGACCAAAUCUUUGGAACCCCAAAAAUGGCAACAUCAGGGGAUGGGUCUAUAUUUACCUGCAACACCUUGGACAUAAUUGUAAAAUAACUAAUCCAAUAAUUCUGUAAUAGAGGGCACAUAAAGAACAUAUGACUCAAAUUACAACUUGGUGCAUGACAUCUGUCACAUCUAUCAUCGAUAUUGGGAAAAAUUUCAGAUAGCCUGGUUUUUGAGAAAUGGACUCUGUGAAAGACUUUGAAUUAUAUCAGACUAAGCCGAGCACAAAUUGUACUAGAACGUAUUCAAAAACAAUUAUUUUUAACCAUCAAUAAGACCUAAACAAUAAGACAAAACAAAUAAGACUUUUUCCAGAAGAAACAAUAUUAUCAGACAUACUGUGAAAAUUUCCUUGCUCUGAUAAACAUCAUUUGAGAAAUAUUUAAUAUUUAAUAUAUAUAUACAGUUGAAGUCAGAAUUAUUAGCCC
Long non-coding RNA from Danio rerio (zebrafish), 1920 nucleotides. The record is from Ensembl. NCBI's taxonomy places the organism in Eukaryota, Metazoa, Chordata, Actinopteri, Cypriniformes, Danionidae.